Molecule: ribosomal RNA, 253 nt
Filed under: uncultured bacterium
Lineage: Bacteria
Description: partial 16S ribosomal RNA
Rfam family: Bacterial small subunit ribosomal RNA
Source: RNAcentral
UACGGAGGGGGCUAGCGUUGCUCGGAAUCACUGGGCGUAAAGCGCACGUAGGCGGAUCUUUAAGUCAGGGGUGAAAUCCUGGAGCUCAACUCCAGAACUGCCUUUGAUACUGGGGAUCUCGAGUCCGGAAGAGGUGAGUGGAACUCCGAGUGUAGCGGUGAAAUGCGUAGAUAUCUGAAGGAACAUCAGUGGCGAAAGCGACUUCCUGGACCAAUACUAACGCUCAUGUGCGAAAGCGUGGGGAGCAAACAGG